CUCGUAGGCGGUUCGUCGCGUCCGGUGUGAAAGUCCAUCGCUUAACGGUGGAUCCGCGUCGGGUACGGGCGGGCUUGAGUGCGGUAGGGGAGACUGGAAUUCCCGGUGUAACGGUGGAAUGUGUAGAUAUCGGGAAGAACACCAAUGGCGAAGGCAGGUCUCUGGGCCGUCACUGACGCUGAGGAGCGAAAGCGUGGGGAGCGAACA
This 207-nucleotide ribosomal RNA is filed under the name uncultured bacterium. RNAcentral describes it as "partial 16S ribosomal RNA". It matches the Rfam family "Bacterial small subunit ribosomal RNA", at positions 568 to 774 of the family's 1533-position model. The record is from RNAcentral.